UACGUAGGGGGCAAGCGUUGUCCGGAAUUAUUGGGCGUAAAGCGCGCGCAGGCGGUUAUUCAAGUCGAAUGUGAAAGCCCCCGGCUCAACCGGGGAGGGUCAUUCGAUACUGUUUGACUUGAAGGCAGGAGAGGGUAGUGGAAUUCCCGGUGUAGUGGUGAAAUGCGUAGAUAUCGGGAGGAACACCAGUGGCGAAGGCGACUACCUGGCCUGUUCUUGACGCUGAGGCGCGAAAGCUGGGGGAGCAAACGGG
This 253-nucleotide ribosomal RNA is filed under the name uncultured bacterium. RNAcentral's name for it is "partial 16S ribosomal RNA". It matches the Rfam family "Bacterial small subunit ribosomal RNA", at positions 524 to 776 of the family's 1533-position model. The record is from RNAcentral.